AUGAACAUCUUGGCCUGGAACUGUCGGGGCUUGGGGUUGGACUCGACAGUUGGCGAAUUACGGGACCUGAUACAGUCACACAACCCAGCGGUGGUAUUUCUCAGUGAAACAAAAAAAAAAUCAGCAAAAGCUAUGGAGAGACUGAGGUGGAGUUUGGGGUUUAGGAGUGGUGUCGGGGUGGACUGUAAGGGGAGAAGUGGAGGUCUUGCACUGUGGUGGAGAGAGCACAUCCAGGUUACUAUCAGACCAUGGUGUCAAUAUUUCCUCGAUGCUGAAUUGGUGUGUGAUGGUAAAACCUUUAGAAUUACUGGAUUCUAUGGUGAACCAUGGACCGAGCUUCGGAAAAAAUCUUGGGAUGCUAUUUGA
RNAcentral lists this ribosomal RNA (366 nucleotides) under Triticum aestivum (bread wheat). Its description in RNAcentral is "partial small subunit ribosomal RNA". The record is from RNAcentral. Lineage: Eukaryota; Viridiplantae; Streptophyta; Magnoliopsida; Poales; Poaceae.